This 948-nucleotide ribosomal RNA is filed under the name Macrobrachium sp. 2 WS-2020. RNAcentral describes it as "SSU rRNA". It matches the Rfam family "Eukaryotic small subunit ribosomal RNA", at positions 411 to 1325 of the family's 1831-position model. Lineage: Eukaryota; Metazoa; Arthropoda; Malacostraca; Decapoda; Palaemonidae. The record is from RNAcentral.
CACAUCCAAGGAAGGCAGCAGGCACGCAAAUUACCCAAUCCCAGCUCUGGGAGGUAGUGACGAAAAAUAACAAUGCGGGACUCUUCCGAGUCUGCGUAAUUGGAAUGAGCACACUUUAAAUCCUUUAGCAACAACCAAUUGGAGGGCAAGUCUGGUGCCAGCAGCCGCGGUAAUUCCAGCUCCAAUAGCGUAUAUUAAAGUUGUUGCGGUUAAAAAGCUCGUAGUUCGAUUUGAGUUGCGGACUGGUGUGGGAGGUCACCGCCCGGUGCUUGCCCGCCAGGUUCCGAACAGCUUCCGUGAGUGGAAGCCAAGCCGGUUCUGCCGGGGUGCUCUUUACCGAGUGUCCCGUGCGGCCGGCCAGUUCACCUUGAAUAAAUGAGAGUGCUCAAAGCAGGCUACUCUGGAAUACAAUGCCCGAAUGUUAGCUGCAUGGAAUGAUGGAAGAUGAUCUCGGUUGCAUUUUGUUGGUGGUGGCAGCCAGAGGUAAUGAUAAAGAGGGACUGUCGGGGGCAUCCGUACUACGACGCGAGAGGUGAAAUUCAGUGACCGUCGUAGGACGAACAACAGCGAAAGCAUUUGCCAAGAAUGUCUUCGUUGAUCAAGAACGAAAGUUAGAGGAUCGAAGGCGAUCAGAUACCGCCCUAGUUCUAACCCUAAACGAUGCUGACUAGCAAUUCGCCGUCGUUAUUCCCAUGACGUGGCGAGACGCCCCCGGGAAACCUCAAGUCUUUGAGUUCCGGGGGUAGUAUGGUUGCAAAAGUGAAACUUAAAGGAAUUGACGGAAGGGCACCACCAGGAGUGGAGCCUGCGGCUUAAUUUGACUCAACACGGGGAAGCUCACCAGGCCCGGACACCAGAAGGAUUGACAGAUUAAGAGCUCUUUCUCGAUUUGGUGGGUGGUGGUGCAUGGCCGUUCUUAGUUGGUGGAGUGAUUUGUCUGGUUAAUUC